GCCUGGGUGGCUCAGUCAGUUAAGUGUCUGAUUUUGACUCAGGUCAUGAUCUCACGGUUUGUGGGUUCAAGCCCCAUGUCGGGCU
This 85-nucleotide transfer RNA is filed under the name Felis catus (domestic cat). It matches the Rfam family "tRNA". From Rfam's summary of the family: Transfer RNA (tRNA) molecules are approximately 80 nucleotides in length. Their secondary structure includes four short double-helical elements and three loops (D, anti-codon, and T loops). RNAcentral also lists the same sequence under 2 other names. The record is from Rfam by way of RNAcentral. Lineage: Eukaryota; Metazoa; Chordata; Mammalia; Carnivora; Felidae.